GGUUAAGCGACUAAGCGUACACGGUGGAUGCCCUGGCAGUCAGAGGCGAUGAAGGGCGUGCUAAUCUGCGAUAAGCGCCGGUAAGGUGAUAUGAACCGUUAUAACCGGCGAUACCCGAAUGGGGAAACCCAGUGUGAUUCGUCACACUAUCAUUAACUGAAUCCAUAGGUUAAUGAGGCGAACCGGGGGAACUGAAACAUCUAAGUACCCCGAGGAAAAGAAAUCAACCGAGAUUCCCCCAGUAGCGGCGAGCGAACGGGGAGGAGCCCAGAGCCUGAAUCAGCAUGUGUGUUAGUGGAAGCGUCUGGAAAGGCGCGCGAUACAGGGUGACAGCCCCGUACACAAAAGCGCA
Molecule: ribosomal RNA, 352 nt
Filed under: Salmonella enterica
Lineage: Bacteria; Pseudomonadati; Pseudomonadota; Gammaproteobacteria; Enterobacterales; Enterobacteriaceae
Description: partial 23S ribosomal RNA
Rfam family: Bacterial large subunit ribosomal RNA
Source: RNAcentral